Molecule: ribosomal RNA, 255 nt
Filed under: uncultured bacterium
Lineage: Bacteria
Description: partial 16S ribosomal RNA
Rfam family: Bacterial small subunit ribosomal RNA
Source: RNAcentral
AAUGAACGUUGGCGGCGUGCCUAACACAUGCAAGUCGAACGCUAGUAGCAAUAUUAGAGUGGCGCACGGGUGAGUAACACGUAGCUUACCCACCUCCCAGCGCGGGAUAACGGUUCGAAAGAACUGCUAAUACCGCAUAAGCUCACGGCCUGUAGAGGGCUGCGAGAAAAGGCGCAAGUCACUGGGAGACGGGGCUGCGGCCCAUCAGCUCGUUGGUGAGGAACGGCUUACCAAGGCGACGACGGGUAGGGACCU